RNAcentral lists this ribosomal RNA (512 nucleotides) under uncultured bacterium. Its description in RNAcentral is "partial 16S ribosomal RNA". It matches the Rfam family "Bacterial small subunit ribosomal RNA", at positions 28 to 523 of the family's 1533-position model. The record is from RNAcentral.
GACGAACGCUGGCGGCGUGCCUAAUACAUGCAAGUCGAGCGAAUUGAUGGGAGCUUGCUCCCUGAUAUUAGCGGCAGACGGGUGAGUAACACGUGGGUAACCUGCCUGUAAGAUUGGGAUAACUCCGGGAAACCGGAGCUAAUACCGGAUAACAUUUCGAACCGCAUGGUUUGAAAUUGAAAGAUGGUUUCGGCUAUCACUUACAGAUGGACCCGCGGCGCAUUAGCUAGUUGGUGAGGUAACGGCUCACCAAGGCAACGAUGCGUAGCCGACCUGAGAGGGUGAGCGGCCACACUGGGACUGAGACACGGCCCAGACUCCUACGGGAGGCAGCAGUAGGGAAUCUUCCGCAAGGGACGAAAGUCUGACGGAGCGACGCCGCGUGAACGAUGAAGGCCUUCGGGUCGUAAAGUUCUGUUGUUAGGGAAGAACAAGUACCAGAGUAACUGCUGGUACCUUGACGGUACCUAACCAGAAAGCCACGGCUAACUACGUGCCAGCCGCCGCGGUAA